AAAAUGCGAUAAUUAAUGUGAAUUGCAGAAUUCAGUGAAUCAUCGAGUCUUUGAACGCACAUUGCGCCCCCUGGUAUUCCGGGGGGCAUGCCUGUCCGAGCGUCAUUGCUGCCCUCAAGCACGGCUUGUGUGUUGGGCUUCCGUCCCUGGCAACGGGGACGGGCCCAAAAGGCAGUGGCGGCACCAUGUCUGGUCCUCGAGCGUAUGGGGCUUUGUCACCCGCUCCCGUAGGUCCAGCUGGCAGCUAGCCUCGCAACCAAUCUUUUUAACCAGGUUGACCUCGGAUCAGGUAGGGAUACCCGCUGAACUUAAGC
RNAcentral lists this unclassified non-coding RNA (314 nucleotides) under plant metagenome. RNAcentral describes it as "partial contains 5.8S ribosomal RNA, internal transcribed spacer 2, and large subunit ribosomal RNA". The stretch from base 1 to 105 matches the Rfam family "5.8S ribosomal RNA", at positions 50 to 154 of the family's 154-position model. The record is from RNAcentral.